Molecule: non-coding RNA, 71 nt
Organism: Myotis brandtii (Brandt's bat)
Lineage: Eukaryota; Metazoa; Chordata; Mammalia; Chiroptera; Vespertilionidae
Source: Rfam
GGCGGUUCUCAGAUGACGCACUCUGGAAUCGGGCUCCCUCCUGGUUCCAGGUGCAUCACCCAAGAACCACA